GACGAACGCUGGCGGCGUGCUUAACACAUGCAAGUCGAGCGGUAAGGCGCCUUUUGGGGUGUACACGAGCGGCGAACGGGUGAGUAACACGUGAGUAAUCUGCCCUCUUCUUCGGGAUAAGCUUCGGAAACGGGGUCUAAUACCGGAUAUUCACAUUUUGGCGCAUGUUGGGGUGUGGAAAGUUUUUUCGGUGGGGGAUGUGCUCGCGGCCUAUCAGUUUGUUGGUGGGGUAAUGGCCUACCAAGGCUUUGACGGGUAGCCGGCCUGAGAGGGUGACCGGCCACACUGGGACUGAGACACGGCCCAGACUCCUACGGGAGGCAGCAGUGGGGAAUAUUGGACAAUGGGCGGAAGCCUGAUCCAGCAACGCCGCGUGGGGGAUGACGGCCUUCGGGUUGUAAACCUCUUUCGCUACUGACGAAGUCGCAUUCUUUGUGGGUGUGGUGACGGUAGGUGGAGAAGAAGCACCGGCCAACUACGUGCCAGCAGCCGCCGUAAAAC
RNAcentral lists this ribosomal RNA (501 nucleotides) under uncultured bacterium. RNAcentral's name for it is "bacterial SSU rRNA". It matches the Rfam family "Bacterial small subunit ribosomal RNA", at positions 28 to 526 of the family's 1533-position model. The record is from RNAcentral.